CGAUUCGUGUUGGUGGCAACUGAUUAUUUCACUAAAUGGUCUGAAGCAGUACCUCUCAAGAACAUGACACAUACGGAGGUGAUUCAAUUCAUAACCGAGCAUAUUAUUCAUAGAUUCGGUAUUCCUCAAACGUUAACUACAGAUCAAGGUUCAUCUUUUAUGUCACACCAAGUCAGAGAGUUUGCCGAAUCUUAUAAUAUAAAGUUGCUCAAUUCCUCUCCAUAUUAUGCCCAAGCUAAUGGACAAGCUGAGUCUAGCAAUAAAAUUUUAAUCAAGCUCAUCAAGAAGAAGAUUGAGGAUAAUCCAAGGAGAUGGCAUGACUUGUUGUCUGAGGCAUUAUGGGCACAUAGAAUCUCAAGGCAUGGUGCUACGAAAGUGACUCCAUAUGAGCUAGUAUAUGGUCAGGAGGCUGUUUUACCGGUGGAAGUAAAUUUGAAUGCUUUGAGAAUAGCCAAACAAAAUGAUUUAUCGGCAAUAGACUUCUAUAACUUGAUGAUGGACAACAUUGACGAGGUUGCUGAUAAACGUUUGGCUGCAUUGAAUGCCAUAGAGAGAGAUAAGUUGAGGGUAGCAAGGGCUUACAAUAAGAAAGUUAAGUUGAAGAAUUUUCAAGUUGGUGAUCUUGUCUGGAAAGUGAUUCUG
RNAcentral lists this ribosomal RNA (642 nucleotides) under Triticum aestivum (bread wheat). RNAcentral describes it as "partial small subunit ribosomal RNA". The record is from RNAcentral. Lineage: Eukaryota; Viridiplantae; Streptophyta; Magnoliopsida; Poales; Poaceae.